This 23-nucleotide small nuclear RNA is filed under the name Arabidopsis thaliana (thale cress). RNAcentral's name for it is "snRNA_05265". Lineage: Eukaryota; Viridiplantae; Streptophyta; Magnoliopsida; Brassicales; Brassicaceae. The record is from RNAcentral.
CUUAGGCUUUUAAGAUCAGGUUG